GAUGAACGCUAGCUACAGGCUUAACACAUGCAAGUCGAGGGGAAACGACAUCGAAAGCUUGCUUUUGAUGGGCGUCGACCGGCGCACGGGUGAGUAACGCGUAUCCAACCUGCCCAUCACUUGGGAAUAACCUUGCGAAAGUAAGACUAAUACCCAAUGACAUCCCACGAAGACAUCUGAAUGGGAUUAAAGAUUUAUCGGUGAUGGAUGGGGAUGCGUCUGAUUAGCUUGUUGGCGGGGUAACGGCCCACCAAGGCAACGAUCAGUAGGGGUUCUGAGAGGAAGGUCCCCACAUUGGAACUGAGACACGGUCCAAACUCCUACGGGAGGCAGCAGUGAGGAAUAUUGGUCAAUGGGCGAGAGCCUGAACCAGCCAAGUAGCGUGCAGGAUGACGGCCCUAUGGGUUGUAAACUGCUUUUAUAAGGGAAUAAAGUGGGUCUCGUGAGACUUUUUGCAUGUACCUUAUGAAUAAGGACCGGCUAAUUCCGUG
Molecule: ribosomal RNA, 491 nt
Filed under: uncultured bacterium
Lineage: Bacteria
Description: partial 16S ribosomal RNA
Rfam family: Bacterial small subunit ribosomal RNA
Source: RNAcentral